UCAUAUGAUUAUUUUCGUGAAUUCGACGUAGAAGAAGUUCGUCUUGCCUCCCUUUAUUAAGUACUGGGCUAAGGGCGGACCCCUCCUUCUAUCUAGGUAUCCCGGUCUCCUAGUCUCGUCCCUUGUUAGUGCAAUAAAUAGAAGUGAGUUUGCUUACCUCUUCUGGUAGCAAGCGCUCUUUGUCAACAACCUCUUUAGUAAUGGAAUCGGUUCUUCGUUCUCUAUCCUAUCUAAUAGAGGAAUUCAUUGGUUCAUCUCCAGGUUCUGACUGGGCCUUCCCUUCCUUUUAGUUUGAGUCCGCCUCUCUAUUAUGAAGUAGUUGUUUCCUAGCCCUCCGUCUGUCCUGAUAUUGAGGCAAGCCUGCUACCCCCUACAUUGAGGUAAUCCCGAUUGUCUUACUGAUUCUCUUCCCGAAACAAGAAAGAAUUUCUUUCACUACACUAAAUAGGAAGUUACAUUUGUAGCAGUCCAAGAAUUGCUCUAUCCCCGAGGUCACUCUCAAGAGUACGACCGGAGGCCCAUCUUCUUACUUAACGAGUUUGUGUCGCAUAAUGUGCCCUUCUUCCGGAGAAAGGAGCGUAUGACUGCCAGCCACACUAGAACCAGUCGCCAAGAAAGGGCGAGAAGAGGCGUGUGAUUCCCUGACCAAGACCAAGGCGGCGGGAGCUCAGCCUAGAAGAAAGACACAAAGGAGAUAGAAUGCCUUUCUUCUCUUAGGAUUGAUUUAUCGAGUUACAGGGGCAGACCACCAGAGUGACUUUCUCCUGCGAUUGGAGGAGGAGAGGCUGUUGGAAUGGGAACUCUUGGAGGUUCGGUAACGAUUAAGAAAAGAUUUAAGAGAUGCGUUUUCAUAGCCUACUUUCGUAUCCACAAGCCCAUGCAAGGGAAUCACUUUCUUACUUUCCCUCUGAGAUAGCGAGAGCCCGAAGUAACUCAUCCGAUCUUUGAAGGCUUGAGGGAACGGAAUCAGCUUUGAUGCCUUUAUGCCAAUUUUCCAUGGGAUGGCUAACAUAGAGAUUUCUUCCCUGUGGGAGUGUUAAUGGUUGGAGUCAUAAGCUAAACCUCUUGAGGCCCAUUGCUCCUAGUGGUGGGGAUUGUCCCUGUAGUUGCGUCUUUCAUUCCCUUUCAAGUAGUCUCUUGGGCCAGUGAAAAAGCUUUCCAUCCGUCCCGACCAGUCCUUCUCUCUCAUCCUCUUGUAAGAUUGGAUAGGGCUACCAUUGAAAUCGAUAGCCCGCAGAAAUGCUUCUUCCUGCGAGUGGAGGUGCCCUUACAUCCAUUGUAGUAGUAGUUGAUAGGGCCCUUUCCCUCUACCGCACCGUGGGAGUGGUAAGCUAUGCUAUCUAGUUGGAGUCCUUUUUCAGUGUCGGAUUUUUUACAAUUAGCCUUCGCCUUCCAAUAAAGAAUAUGCUUCCCCUAUUUCCAAAAGUGAGUUAGUAGGAAAGCCUUUCAAUUGCAGUACCACUUUCUAGCGAUCUAGUUCCAUUCCCUCCUAUUGAUAUUGAAGCAGAAGGAUUUUCCAAGGCACCUACAGGACGACUAGGUAAGACUAUCCCAUAGAAGUCUUAGGUAUGGUAUGAUGCGGGCAUAGUUUACACUCGUAAGUAAUCAGGUAAGCAAGUGGGGAUAGCUUCAAGCUUUGGAUAUGGGGAAGCACAAACUAGUGAGAAAGGUAGUUUCCCCUCUUGGCUUUGUCCCAAUAGCCAUUGUAAGAGUAGGAGAUGGAGAGUUGCCCGCUAUAGGGCAUUGAAGAAGCUAAUACCAUUUUAGGCUAUUAAGGAUUUCGUGCACCACGGUAUAAUAUCUGUGUCAAAUCUAGCAAAGCCAGGGAGCCCCAAGCUGCUUGCCUAUUCUUCUAUCUCAAAUAGGGAUCAAAAGUCCCAUACUAGCAUUGCCCUUAAUCCCUCACAGCUUGUAACGGCUUAUCCGGGUAUUGAUUCAUAGCCAUAUGUGGAAUCACUCCCUUUCUUUAGAGGCGAGUAACUGAACCGAAAGCAGGUAAUUCAGUUUAGGGGAGAAGCAUUCCUUCUUUAGCCCCCAAGGGAAGAUCAUAGAAGGAAAAGUCUCUUACUGACUGAGGCGAGGCUAGGAGAAGCUACUGGGCUGCUAAGCAGCAGAGGCAGAGCACAACUGAUUCGAACAAUAGAUGUUUCGGUCAGAGGGGUAUUGCAGCUGUGAUGGAAGUUCUUAGCUAAACAGUCAAGGUGGGAACCAAACCAGAUGUCGACUAAAGGAGUUGGAUUACAGCUUAGGGUAAUCAGCUCGACUCAGAAGGUUUGGAGUUUCACCGUGAAACUAAACGCAGGAAAGUCAAAGAAAAGGUCCGACAGAGCUGCGCCUUCGCAGGGCCUCUUGGAGUAGUAAGUCUUGGAGCUGGUGAGAGCGCUAUAGUUACAAUUUGACCAACCCCAUCUUCCCUCGUUGUAUGAGUUACCCUUGCCCCAUGGGAUAUUUCAUUCUCAGUUCAAGCAGAAUCGGAGAGAAAGGCUUUCAGUCAGUCCAACGAGCUAACCUGCUAAGAAAGUAGUUAGUAAGGAUGGGAUAUUCUCCUUUAAGUCAGUCCCCAGAAGCAAGGAAUUAUAAGUAAGCAGAAGAGAGAGCUAGGAAUGCUGUUGAGGCUCGAACUUGCAGUAAGGGAAGGGGAAAUGAGACAAAGGCUAACUAAGGACGAAGUUCGGAAAUUCCAUAUCUUUUUACAUGUCACUGAGCCUCGUAUGGCAAUGCCAAAGCAAAAGAGUAGAGCAGCCUCUCGCGGAAAUGAAUUGACCAGAUCGAUGGAACCAGACAAUUUCAGUCUAUUCGUUCGCGCCUCUUGCGAAGCGGUUCGCUCACAUUGAUAUCAGUCUGGUUUGCUGCAUCCGCUGUUUCUUCUAUUUCUUGAAAACAACCUAUUCUUGCGCUUACUCUUAUUUAAUUUAAGCGGGUAAGAAUUUCCUACUAUCCAAUAAUAUGGAUAUCAAUUCCUUAUCCCACAAAAGCAGACUACUUUCAUAAUCUUCUUUCUCUUUAGAUUUGCUGCUUUCUUACGAAUUGAUAGAGGCAUACUUGUGUAUGUUAUCCCAUAAGACUUAUUGUUGUUUCAAGGGGGUGUCAACCGGUAAUAGAAUGUAGCAACCAGAGAAAAUCUUCGACCAGAAGGAGUUCGAGUUUAGAACGCUACCAGAUAAGGUGAAUAUGGUAUUGAGUUUGCUACUCAUUUUUUGAAGCUAAACCUGGUCAGCCAAGUGUUAUAGACGUUAAUGUGUCAUUAUUGAUGAGGAAAUAGCCCUGAGUUGGGCCUAGAUCGGUCGUGGAAUCAAGUAGACCGACCAAGGACUAAUGAAAGAAAGAAGGAAUCCGCCACUUUCGUUCUAUAAAAGUCUUCAGAUAGUAUGAUCUAUGAUCCAAUCCAGCAUUGAAAACCCCUUUCUAUCUUAUAUAUCUUAGCUUAGCCCACUUCGAUGGAAAGCAAAUGUUCUAUGGUGGAGAAGGGGCUGCUUUAAAUAAAUAUAUUGACGGGAUCGGUCAUGAAGAAGCUCAGCAAGCAGAAAGAUUCUUUGAUGGAAACCAUGACAGACUUUGCUGUAGUAGAGACCUCAACCCAGGUCCUAUCGAACCUACCUAUGGUCCCUUUCCCCGCUCCUCAAUUACAUCCACCCUAAAACGGACGAAUGGAAUUGUAUUCAUACUUCCUUUCUUCAAGAGUUGCUGAAUUCGGGAAGCAAAUAAGGAUAACUAGAGUAUACAAAGUAGAAUAGAGCGAAGGAAGCUACAUACACAGGAUGGACGUAGUUCAUGCUACGUUAAGAUUAGGACUGAAAAAAUGAACACUUAUGCAGCUAUCUCUCAAAAGAGUCGUUAAGUUGACUCGCUAGUGCUACCUUUCAUGGUAUAUAGAGAGUUCAGGCAAUCGGUCUCUUCGGUAGCGCUAGGGAAGAAGAUACAUACUUGAAGCGAGACAAAGAGCACAAAUAGAUAAUAGAUGGACAAACAUCUCGCUAUCGCUCAAACCUCAUUGUUGAGUAAAGGUGAGAGGGAGAGUGAAGGGUCGAACAUGUUUGAGAGGAAGGAGAAA
This 4051-nucleotide long non-coding RNA is filed under the name Coffea arabica (coffee). RNAcentral's name for it is "long non-coding RNA (CARA_LNC008348)". The record is from RNAcentral. Lineage: Eukaryota; Viridiplantae; Streptophyta; Magnoliopsida; Gentianales; Rubiaceae.